UUCCCGGGUCUUGUACACACCGCCCGUCACACCACGAGAGUUUGUAACACCCGAAGCCGGUGGAGUAACCUUUUAGGAGCUAGCCGUCGAAGGUGGGACAAAUGAUUGGGGUGAAGUCGUAACAAGGUAGCCGUAUCGGAAGGUGCGGCUGGAUCACCUCCUUU
RNAcentral lists this ribosomal RNA (164 nucleotides) under Staphylococcus aureus. RNAcentral describes it as "partial 16S ribosomal RNA". It matches the Rfam family "Bacterial small subunit ribosomal RNA", at positions 1371 to 1533 of the family's 1533-position model. The record is from RNAcentral. Lineage: Bacteria; Bacillati; Bacillota; Bacilli; Caryophanales; Staphylococcaceae.